GGAUCUGUGGCAGAGCGGUUGAAUGCACUCGUCUUGAAAACGAGAACCUGUUAAAAUAGGUCGUGAGUUCAAAUCUCACCAGGUCCG
Molecule: transfer RNA, 87 nt
Filed under: Turbinellus floccosus
Lineage: Eukaryota; Fungi; Basidiomycota; Agaricomycetes; Gomphales; Gomphaceae
Description: tRNA-Ser
Rfam family: tRNA
About the family: Transfer RNA (tRNA) molecules are approximately 80 nucleotides in length.
Source: RNAcentral